Molecule: non-coding RNA, 2599 nt
Organism: Camellia sinensis
Lineage: Eukaryota; Viridiplantae; Streptophyta; Magnoliopsida; Ericales; Theaceae
Source: RefSeq, a predicted model, not a curated record
AAAAAAAAAAAACUCUCUCACUCCUGCUUAACCGUUAACGCCUCACCCACCCAUUAUUUUGUGAAGAGAGAGAGGUUUUUGGAGAGAGUGGCAACAGCUUCGUGGAGUUCCUCAACUCUUCUCCAGUCCCAGAUUAGCGGGUUUGGUGGAGGUCUUAGACAAUCUCGUUCUCAUCCCAAUUCUCUCACCUUUUGCAAGUUUCUCUGUUGGAUGGAAUGGCAAAUACUAGAAUGGUUGAACUUGGAGAAGUUCAGCUUGCUACUUACCUUUUCGAGAAGACAUUUACAGGGCAGCCUUCGUUUCAAAAUGGCUUGCCUUCACUCAUUGCAUUUCCCUUUGGAUGUAACACUGCAAAUUGUCUAAUUAGGUGAGUUUCCGCUUGAGGUUUAAAUUUUGAAGCUGCGCUCAUGCUGCAUUGUAUGAGAGAGAGCUUUAUGUUGACGCUGUUACUAAUUGGUUUGCAACCAUAAGUUUGCCUUGCAUUCUAUACUACUCAAAGGAUUCAAUGGUAACAAAUGCAGUCUUUCCUGGGUCUAUAUACACAUUUUUUUAUGACUAAAUUGUGACGUAGGAUAGUUUGGGAAACGUGGAUGAUGCUGUCCACACUUGAUUUUUUACUAGUUUUAGGGCCAAGAAUGGUCGUGGAUUUAGAGUUCAAUACGGUUGGAUGGUUCUAGUGUUUGUGACCAUAGUGGAUUAUAACUGUCUUGCUUUUUGAAGUUAAUUUGUGGAGAAUAAGGCAGAAGGAAUGAACUUUUGUUGGGAACAAUUGACUAGGCUUGCUUUACGUUGUAAUGCUGGAGUGGAAUUUCAUAGAUUGAUGCAUUGAAAAAGCAACAUGAAAAGAAAUCAUUAUUUAAUUAGGAGUCUUUUCUAAUAGACCGAUUAUUUAUGUUCAUUUUGCUUUUCUGGCAUUGGACCAAUUGUUAGAAUAUGUUAGAAUAGGAAAUAAUAUUUGCCAUAUUUUAUUCUUAUUUGAUAUUAUUUUCCCUUGAUUGAUGUAAUGGCCUGACCCAUAAUUUAUGCCUAAUGGCACUCCUGUAAUUACGUAUUAUUAUCAAUAUAAAAGGGGAUGAGGUCUCACUCAUUGCCUAUCUCUUUCUCUUCUCUAAACUCGUAACACCCCAGAAUUUUUCCCUCUGCUCGAGCACAAGAGUUCACGCUCGAGCGGUCUUGUGAGGCUCUUAGUACUUUUGCAGUUUGUUCGAGAUUCUGAGAGUUGUGAAUUUCCACUCGGGCACAGGAGUGGUCGCUCGAGCGGUCGGCUUCGGUAGUCUGUUCGCUCAAGAGCAAGAUUGGACGCUUGAGCAGUCUGCCUGGUUGAGUCUAAAUUUUUAGGACUAGUGGGGUUGCUCUUGACAUUUUUAUUAUUGUGUUUGGAGCUUCCUUGUUUUAUUUUGGGACAUUGAUCGAAGUAGUAACAUGAUGGUUGAGUAAGAUUAGACCAAAAACUUUGAUUCGAAUAAUUUUCCUAUGAACAACCAUCACUCUUUUACUCUUUUCUUUUUCCACACUUUGAAUUUGGAUAUGGGGCUAGAACCAUUGGAAAGAUUGUUUCCGGGGCUUCGAUUUGGACACAAAAACGACCUAAAACGAAGUCUGGAUGAGAGAGUUAUACCCGUUUGAAGUUUUAGUAUCUGUGCUGGAAGCAAGUGCACUUGAGCGCAGAAAGUGGCGCUCGAGUGGACUGUGCGAAUUCAACAGUUUAAAAAGUGCCUGUCUAGAUCAUUCUCUCCACUUUUCUUUUCUCUCUUUCCUUCUCUCAUCUAAGUCCGAAAACCCUUGAUUUCUUGACCCAAAUACCUUCCAUUUCUCAAAGAUUUGGCCAUAAUCUCUUACCAAAAAGUGAAGAAUACAUGAAGAUCUCAUUUUCCUACCGAUUGGAUUUUUGGUUUUAUGAAGGAAUCUCCUGGAGCCUUGCUUUCUUGCUUGGUCAUUGAGGUAGGGGUUUCUAGUUCUCCUUCAAUACUUUCAUUUAUAGAUAGAUUUGUGGUAUUUUCCUUAUAUAAAUACAAAAUAUACAUUUUUUAGCAUAUUGUGAAAAGUCAUGAGAUUGGGAGUUUUGGGUUUGAAGAGUUGGGGUUUACUUACUGGGUUAUGAUUUUGGGAGUGUAAGCAAUAGAAGAGUUGAAAUAAAAAGUGUUUUGUGAAAAGCUUUAAUUUCUCUUAAAAACCCCAGUUUGGUUCAUGAAGAUAGAUGAUGAUUUUGCUUAAAUUGAAAGUAGUAUCAUGAAAUUGAGGUGUUAAAUUACAAAUAUACAAGUUUAAUUGAAAUUUUAAAGAGUUUGAAAUUUAUGUAAAAGUUGCGAUUGAACUCUUAAUGUUGAUAUUUUAAAUUAUGCUAUAAUAUGAAACCAAACUUGGGAAAAGGAAUUAUUAAUGGUAUAGAUGAUAUGAGCUUUGUGAUGAAAUGAUGAUGUGGAGGUUUAAGAGUUUGUAUUUGUGAUACCCCUGUUCCGUAGUAUGCUAAUUGGUCCUUAAUUUGAGUAUGAUUAUGUGUUUAAUAUGAUUUCAUGUGCCAUUGUGUGAAAAUAUAUAGUUUUGAAUUUCUAUCUGUUCACAGUAGGAAUAUCUGUUUGAUUAUCUGCUUUGGAAAUUA